RNAcentral lists this ribosomal RNA (352 nucleotides) under Dermacentor variabilis (American dog tick). Its description in RNAcentral is "partial 16S ribosomal RNA". The stretch from base 220 to 352 matches the Rfam family "Bacterial large subunit ribosomal RNA", at positions 2473 to 2606 of the family's 2925-position model. The record is from RNAcentral. Lineage: Eukaryota; Metazoa; Arthropoda; Arachnida; Ixodida; Ixodidae.
UACAGGGAAUAACUAUUUAAAACUUAAAAAUUAAAAUUAUUUUAAUUUGUGAAGAAACAAUUAUUAAAAUUAAGGACAAGAAGACCCUAAGAAUUUUAAAAUAAUUAAUUUCUUAUAAGAAAUUAAUUAUUUUUAGUUGGGGCAACUAGAAAAUAUUAUAAACUUUUUAUAUAAUAAAAUGACCCAUUAUUAAUGAUUAUUUGAGAAAAAUACUCUAGGGAUAACAGCGUAAUAAUUUUUGAUAGAACCUAUAGACAAAAUAGUUUGCGACCUCGAUGUUGGAUUAGGAUACUUUUUUAAUGAAGAUGUUAAAAAAAGAAGUUUGUUCAACUUUUAAAGUCCUACUUGAUCU